Molecule: ribosomal RNA, 465 nt
Filed under: Vreelandella stevensii
Lineage: Bacteria; Pseudomonadati; Pseudomonadota; Gammaproteobacteria; Oceanospirillales; Halomonadaceae
Description: partial 16S ribosomal RNA
Rfam family: Bacterial small subunit ribosomal RNA
Source: RNAcentral
CCUACGGGCGGCAGCAGUGGGGAAUAUUGGACAAUGGGCGAAAGCCUGAUCCAGCCAUGCCGCGUGUGUGAAGAAGGCCUUCGGGUUGUAAAGCACUUUCAGUGGGGAAGAAAGCCUUGGGGCUAAUACCCUCGAGGAAGGACAUCACCCACAGAAGAAGCACCGGCUAACUCCGUGCCAGCAGCCGCGGUAAUACGGAGGGUGCGAGCGUUAAUCGGAAUUACUGGGCGUAAAGCGCGCGUAGGCGGUCUGAUAAGCCGGUUGUGAAAGCCCCGGGCUCAACCUGGGAACGGCAUCCGGAACUGUCAGGCUAGAGUGCAGGAGAGGAAGGUAGAAUUCCCGGUGUAGCGGUGAAAUGCGUAGAGAUCGGGAGGAAUACCAGUGGCGAAGGCGGCCUUCUGGACUGACACUGACGCUGAGGUACGAAAGCGUGGGUAGCAAACAGGAUUAGAUACCCCAGUAGUC